RNAcentral lists this ribosomal RNA (219 nucleotides) under Triticum aestivum (bread wheat). Its description in RNAcentral is "partial small subunit ribosomal RNA". Lineage: Eukaryota; Viridiplantae; Streptophyta; Magnoliopsida; Poales; Poaceae. The record is from RNAcentral.
AUGAGAACCAAUCCUACCACUUCUCCUCCCGGGGUUUCCACAAUUGAAGAAAAAAGUACAGGUCAUAUCGAUCAAAUUGUUAGACCUGUGUUGGAUGUCACUUUUCCCCCAGGCAAGUUACCUUAUAUUUAUAAUGCUUUGGCAGUACAGAGUAGAGACACUGCAAAUAAGCAAAUCAAUGUGACUUGUGAGGUACAACAAUUAUUAGGAAAUAAUUGA